Molecule: ribosomal RNA, 1200 nt
Filed under: Alexandrium fundyense
Lineage: Eukaryota; Dinophyceae; Gonyaulacales; Pyrocystaceae
Description: eukaryotic LSU rRNA
Rfam family: Eukaryotic large subunit ribosomal RNA
Source: RNAcentral
UCUUUAGUAAUUGCGAAUGAACAAGGAUAUGCUUAGCUUGACAAAUGGAGCUAUUGGCUUUGAAUUGUAUUGUGGAAAUGUAUUACCAACAGAGGUGCAGGUGCCAGCCUAUUGAAAUAAAGCGUCAAUGAGGGUGAGAAUCCUGUUUGUCAUGUGCAGCCCUUUGUGCACGGUGUAUAUUUGCUGAGUCACACUCCUUGGCAUUGGAAUGCAAAGUGGGUGGUAAGUUUCAUGUAAAGGUAAACAUGCAAUUGAGACUGAUAGCACACAAGUACCAUGAGGGAAAUAUGAAAAGGACUUUGAAAAGAGAAUUAAAUGAGUUUGUAUUUGCUGAACACAAAGUAAACAGACUUGAUUUGCUUGGUGGGAGUGUUGCACUUGCUUGACAAGAGCUUUGGGCUGUGGGUGUAAUGAUUCUUUCUUUGCAUGCCAGUUUCUAUUUGUACAUCUGAUUACCUUUGCACAUGAAUGAUAAGUCUCCUGUGGGGGGUGGAUUGCAUGUGCAUGUAAUGAUUUGUGUUUUGAUAAAUGUGUCUGGUGUAUGUGUGUGUUCCUGUGCUUGGGGAUGCUUCCUUCCUUGGACUUACAAGCCCUGACACACACAUGCUGGCAAAAUGCUUCUGCUUGACCCGUCUUGAAACACGGACCAAGGAGUCUAACAGAUGUGCAAAGUUUGAAGGUGGUAUACCUUUGUGUGCAAUGAAAGUGUCAGCUGGGAUAUGUGCACCAGCACCCAAUUAAUUAGCGGACAGAGGUUUGAGUUGGAGCAUAUCUAUUAGGACCCGAAAGAUGGUGAACUAUGCCUGAACAGAAUGAAUUCAGAGGAAACUCUGAUGGAGGUUCGUAUCGAUACUGACGUGCAAAUCGUUCGUCAUAUUUGGGUAUAGGGGCGAAAGACUAAUCGAACCAUCUAGUAGCUGGUUCCCUCCGAAGUUUCCCUCAGGAUAGCUGGAGUUGCUCAGUUUUAUCAGGUAAAGCGAAUGAUUAGAGGAAUUGGGGACAGGUUUGUCUUUGACCUAUUCUCAAACUUUAAAUGGGUAAUAUGUAGUGGUUGCUGUAUGGAACUUCUAAGAUAAAUGGCAAUAUUGGGUGGGCCAUUUUUGGUAAGCAGAACUGGCGAUGAGGGAUGAACCUAAUGUGGGGCUAAGGUGCUUAAUUACAGGCUCAUUUGAUACCAGAAAGGGUGUUGGUUCAUUUUAA